Molecule: ribosomal RNA, 372 nt
Filed under: uncultured bacterium
Lineage: Bacteria
Description: bacterial SSU rRNA
Rfam family: Bacterial small subunit ribosomal RNA
Source: RNAcentral
GCGAGGGUGCAAGCAUUGAUCGGAAUUACUGGGCGUAAAGGGCGCGUAGGCGGUUUUAUAAGUCGGAUGUGAAAUUCCGGGGCUCAACCCCGGAGCUGCAUUUGAAACUAUAAGACUAGAGGAUAGUUAGGGAAAACGGAAUUCCACGUGUAGCGGUGAAAUGCGUAGAUAUGUGGAAGAACACCAGUGGUGAAGACGGUUUUCUGGGCUAUAACUGACGCUGAGGCGCGAAAGCUAGGGGAGCAAACAGGAUUAGAUACCCUGGUAGUCCUAGCCUUAAACGAUGCAUACUAGAUGUAGGUGGGCUCAACCCCUCCUGUAUCGAAGCUAACGCAUUAAGUAUGCCGCCUGGGGAGUACGGCCGCAAGGUUG